UCACUCUUUUGAUCUUCAAACGUCCAACACAAGGACGAAAGCGCACUACAAAAAAAAUCCGAAAUUUUGGUCUAGCAGUUCCAGUUGGCUUAAAAAUUGUCUCUGGAAAGAUGCUCGAUUCGUACCAUACAAGUCGUAUAAGCCGAGAACCUAUCUCGGACUUUAAAUAGGUACGAAUCAGGUAGAAAUCACAACAGGAAAACCGAUAGCCGGCUAGUCACCGCACAAACCUUAAAACCGAGAGUAAGCCUAGGUCUUGCCGUAAACCCAUCGCAUUGGUCUCAAACAUCUCUAAGACAUGAUAUCUAAAUGAUACGAGAUUCCUAAAACGUGUCUCUUCGUUCAUAUCUCAACAUUCCCGAAAAAUCGUAAAUAAUUUUUACGAAAACUCACGUCUCGAAUAAACUAACAGAUUGAACGCCUCAACGAAGAUAAAUAUGAGACAACAACUCAUAUUCACUUCAAACCCACUCUAAACAUUUAGUAACCCAAACAGACAUCCAUUAUAUAAACCGCAUAGCGGUAGGGGUUCAAGGCCACCAACGGCCAGUCCCGAUAAAAGCGGCCAAAAAUGGCCCGUACAAAGUUCGAAGGCCACACUCGGCCGGACAUAUAUGAACAAAGGCCACACUCGGCCGUUAAAUACUAGAUAAAGGGAAAAAAUCCUUCCCGUCGAAACGCUCACAGGUAAAAGUUAAAACUCCCAGACAAGGAAGCUCCGAAUGCAUCUGCGGGAAAGUUCACUUCCUCAUCGUCACCGGCAAAAU
Molecule: long non-coding RNA, 767 nt
Filed under: Brassica napus (rape)
Lineage: Eukaryota; Viridiplantae; Streptophyta; Magnoliopsida; Brassicales; Brassicaceae
Description: long non-coding RNA (BNAP_LNC009288)
Source: RNAcentral